This 230-nucleotide ribosomal RNA is filed under the name uncultured microorganism. RNAcentral describes it as "partial 16S ribosomal RNA". It matches the Rfam family "Bacterial small subunit ribosomal RNA", at positions 524 to 753 of the family's 1533-position model. The record is from RNAcentral.
UACGGAGGGGGCUAGCGUUGUUCGGAAUUACUGGGCGUAAAGAGCGCGUAGGCGGCUUGUUCAGUUAGGCGUGAAAGGCCUGGGCUUAACCUGGGAACUGCGCUUAAUACGGAUGGGCUAGAGUCCGGAAGGGGGUGGCGGAAUUCCCAGUGUAGAGGUGAAAUUCGUAGAUAUUGGGAAGAACACCGGUGGCGAAGGCGGCCACCUGGUCCGGAACUGACGCUGAGGUG